GCCGGAGUGGCGGAAUUGGCAGACGCAAGGGACUUAAAAUCCCUCGAAACCUAGUUUCGUACGAGUUCAAGUCUCGUCUCCGGCA
This 85-nucleotide transfer RNA is filed under the name Nitrospirota bacterium. Its description in RNAcentral is "Nitrospirae bacterium (sediment metagenome) tRNA-Leu". It matches the Rfam family "tRNA". From Rfam's summary of the family: Transfer RNA (tRNA) molecules are approximately 80 nucleotides in length. Their secondary structure includes four short double-helical elements and three loops (D, anti-codon, and T loops). Further hydrogen bonds mediate the characteristic L-shaped molecular structure. tRNAs have two regions of fundamental functional importance: the anti-codon, which is responsible for specific mRNA codon recognition, and the 3' end, to which the tRNAs corresponding amino acid is attached (by aminoacyl-tRNA synthetases). tRNAs cope with the degeneracy of the genetic code in two manners: having more than one tRNA (with a specific anti-codon) for a particular amino acid; and 'wobble' base-pairing, i.e. permitting non-standard base-pairing at the 3rd anti-codon position. The record is from RNAcentral. RNAcentral also lists the same sequence under 1 other name. Lineage: Bacteria; Pseudomonadati; Nitrospirota.